This is a non-coding RNA of Hydra vulgaris (swiftwater hydra), 855 nucleotides long. Lineage: Eukaryota; Metazoa; Cnidaria; Hydrozoa; Anthoathecata; Hydridae. The record is from RefSeq and is a predicted model, not a curated record.
AUAAUGAUGAUAACUAGCUUAUAUUUAAAUUUUUCUUUCUGUGUUACACCUUUUUUCUUGUAAUCUUUAGUCGUGUCGCCUUCUGUUGCUUCUGGUAAUGUUACUUUUACUUUUUUUUAUAAACCAAAAUAUAACUAAUUUAUAAUUUUAAAUUAUCAAAGUAAUAAUUUUCUUGUAACCUUUAGUUAUUUUGUCUCCUGUUGCCACUGGUAAGGUUACUUCUAGUUUUUUUUAAUAAAACAAAUGAUAACUAAUUUACAAUUUUUAAUUAUCGAAAUAAUACUCUUUUUUGUAAACUUUAGUUGCGUCUCCUCCUGCUGUCUCUGGUAUGGUUGUUUCUAAUUUUUUUUAUGUAAAGAAAUGGAAAAUUUUUCAUUAUUAAACAAAUGGUAAUUUACUUUGUUUUCAUAAUUGAUUAUAAAUGUUCUUUAGAUUCUUUACAUAUUUUACAUGCAUUUAUAUUUUGCUUUCAGCACUUACAUAUGCUGAUUACACAGCAUAUCGGUCCCAGCAUCCAGGACCCCUUUCAAAAAAAUCUUUUUUGAAUUGGGUUUAGCAUGGUGGGGAAAAUAUCCCACAUUUUAGAUGACAUCCCUACUCUGGUGCUGGGACACGUGGAUAAAGAGGUCGAGAAAGAAGGCACAGUAAAAGAGGUGGAAAUAAUGAUAGUGGGAGGUGGUUACAAUGCUCCGUUUACAAAAAUAUGGAUAUGUUGAUGCAUCUUGUAAUAUGAUUGGAGAGGCGGGGGGGGGGGGCUAUACGCCCUUCACCCUAAACCAAUGUCGUAAAGAAGUGAAAUAUAAUUUUUGUAUUUUAUAUUAGAUUUACUCAUUUUAAUAAAGAUUGAAAUAUUUA